GUCCUUGUAGCUUAUCUAAAGCAUGACGCUGAAGACGUCAAGAUGG
This 46-nucleotide transfer RNA is filed under the name Phylloscopus collybita (eurasian chiffchaff). Its description in RNAcentral is "partial tRNA-Phe". The record is from RNAcentral. RNAcentral also lists the same sequence under 1 other name. Lineage: Eukaryota; Metazoa; Chordata; Aves; Passeriformes; Phylloscopidae.